Molecule: ribosomal RNA, 469 nt
Filed under: uncultured bacterium
Lineage: Bacteria
Description: partial 16S ribosomal RNA
Rfam family: Bacterial small subunit ribosomal RNA
Source: RNAcentral
GACGAACGCUGGCGGCGUGCUUAACACAUGCAAGUCGAACGGAAAGGCCCUGCUUGCAGGGUGCUCGAGUGGCGAACGGGUGAGUAACACGUGGGUGAUCUGCCCCUUACUUUGGGAUAAGCCUGGGAAACUGGGUCUAAUACUGGAUAGGACCAUGCUGUAGGUGGUGUGGUGGAAAGAUUAGUUUCGGUAAGGGAUGAGCUCGCGGCCUAUCAGCUUGUUGGUGGGGUAAUGGCCUACCAAGGCGUCGACGGGUAGCCGGCCUGAGAGGGUGGGCGGCCAGGUUCGGACUGAUAUAGGAGGCAGACUCCGGGAGGAGUCGGCAGUGGGGGAUAGCGCACUAUAGGCGCAAGGCUGAUGUAGCGACGCCGCGUGGGUUAUGACGGCCUUCGGUUUGGAAAGACCUGCCGGCCAUUACGAAGCCCUUGUUGUGACGGUAGUGGUAGAAGAAGCACCGGCUAACUACGUG